RNAcentral lists this ribosomal RNA (301 nucleotides) under uncultured bacterium. Its description in RNAcentral is "partial 16S ribosomal RNA". It matches the Rfam family "Bacterial small subunit ribosomal RNA", at positions 509 to 807 of the family's 1533-position model. The record is from RNAcentral.
CAGUCGCCACGGGAAUACGUAGGUGGCAAGCGUUGUCCGGAAUUAUUGGGCGUAAAGGGCUCGCAGGCGGUUUCUUAAGUCUGAUGUGAAAGCCCCCGGCUCAACCGGGGAGGGUCAUUGGAAACUGGGAAACUUGAGUGCAGAAGAGGAGAGUGGAAUUCCACGUGUAGCGGUGAAAUGCGUAGAGGUGUGGAGGAACACCAGUGGCGAAGGCGACUCUCUGGUCUGUAACUGACGCUGAGGAGCGAAAGCGUGGGGAGCGAACAGGAUUAGAUACCCCAGUAGUCCCUGUCUCUUAUAC